AUUCCCCUGCCGUGUUCGUGAUGUUGUAAAACUCUUGAGCCUACCAACUUACACGAGGGAGUCUGAGACUGAAUGAAGAUGUACAUGCCCUGAAGUUUUUUAGGGACGUACUGAAUGUUCGCGAGGACACCCACCUGGCCUAGCCAGGUUCAAAGAGUUUGCUUCACACGGCACAGUGGUGGGGGAUGU
RNAcentral lists this non-coding RNA (189 nucleotides) under Candidatus Moduliflexus flocculans. RNAcentral describes it as "6S / SsrS RNA". It matches the Rfam family "6S / SsrS RNA". From Rfam's summary of the family: E. coli 6S RNA was the first non coding RNA to be sequenced, but its function was unknown until recently. The record is from Rfam by way of RNAcentral. Lineage: Bacteria; Candidatus Moduliflexota; Candidatus Moduliflexia; Candidatus Moduliflexales; Candidatus Moduliflexaceae.